RNAcentral lists this ribosomal RNA (533 nucleotides) under uncultured bacterium. RNAcentral's name for it is "partial 16S ribosomal RNA". It matches the Rfam family "Bacterial small subunit ribosomal RNA", at positions 355 to 902 of the family's 1533-position model. The record is from RNAcentral.
UGGGGAAUAUUGCACAAUGGGCGAAAGCCUGAUGCAGCAACGCCGCGUGAGUGAUGAAGGCCUUCGGGUUGUAAAGCUCUGUCUUUUGGGACGAUAAUGACGGUACCAAAGGAGGAAGCCACGGCUAACUACGUGCCAGCAGCCGCGGUAAUACGUAGGUGGCAAGCGUUGUCCGGAUUUACUGGGCGUAAAGGAUGCGUAGGCGGAUUUUUAAGUGAGAUGUGAAAACCCUAAGCUUAACUUGGGGGACUGCAUUUCAUACUGGAAAUCUAGAGUGCGGGAGAGGAGAAUGGAAUUCCUAGUGUAGCGGUGAAAUGCGUAGAGAUUAGGAAGAACACCAGUGGCGAAGGCGAUUCUCUGGACCGUAACUGACGCUGAGGCAUGAAAGCGUGGGUAGCAAACAGGAUUAGAUACCCUGGUAGUCCACGCCGUAAACGAUGAGUACUAGGUGUAGGAGGUAUCGACCCCUUCUGUGCCGCAGUUAACACAAUAAGUACUCCGCCUGGGAAGUACGAUCGCAAGAUUAAAAACUU